UGAAAAAUGCUUGAUGUUGAUAUUGAACAU
RNAcentral lists this non-coding RNA (30 nucleotides) under Homo sapiens (human). The record is from RNAcentral. Lineage: Eukaryota; Metazoa; Chordata; Mammalia; Primates; Hominidae.